CCCUCUGUCCCUAUCUACUAUCUAGCGAAACCACUGCCAAGGGAACGGGCUUGGAAAAAUCAGCGGGGAAAGAAGACCCUGUUGAGCUUGACUCUAGUCUGGCACUGUAAGGAGACAUGAGAGGUGUAGCAUAAGUGGGAGACGGUAUCCAUCCCGUCGCCGGUGAAAUACCACUACUUUCAUCGUUUCUUUACUUACUUGGUUAGGCGGAGGGCGUUCGUCGUGGGUACACACCCCGGCGGUACGGUCUUCUCGCGCCAAGCGUUCAAGGGUUGCCGGCGGACAGAAGUGCGGGUCGACGUCGGUGAGUCGUGUAACCAGGUAACUGGCCACGGCCCGGCGACGGCUUUAGCACGCUCUGAACCCGACCGGCAAACACUCCCUAGCGUGAUCCGAUCCGAGGACACUGCCAGGCGGGGAGUUUGACUGGGGCGGUACAUCUGUCAAAGAAUAACGCAGGUGUCCUAAGGCCAGCUCAGCGAGGACAGAAACCUCGCGUAGAGCAAAAGGGCAAAUGCUGGCUUGAUCCCGAUGUUCAGUACGCAUAGGGACUGCGAAAGCACGGCCUAUCGAUCCUUUUGGCUUGAAGAGUUUUCAGCAAGAGGUGUCAGAAAAGUUACCACAGGGAUAA
RNAcentral lists this ribosomal RNA (631 nucleotides) under Bundera emeiana. RNAcentral describes it as "eukaryotic LSU rRNA". It matches the Rfam family "Eukaryotic large subunit ribosomal RNA", at positions 2335 to 2829 of the family's 3401-position model. The record is from RNAcentral. Lineage: Eukaryota; Metazoa; Arthropoda; Insecta; Hemiptera; Cicadellidae.